Molecule: ribosomal RNA, 130 nt
Filed under: Shewanella sp.
Lineage: Bacteria; Pseudomonadati; Pseudomonadota; Gammaproteobacteria; Alteromonadales; Shewanellaceae
Description: partial 23S ribosomal RNA
Rfam family: Bacterial large subunit ribosomal RNA
Source: RNAcentral
AGCGGGAAGCCCACCUCAAGAUUAGAUUUCCCUAAAGAGCCGUUCAAGACUAGGACGUUGAUAGGCAGGGUGUGGAAGCACAGCGAUGUGUGUAGCUAACCUGUACUAAUUGCUCGUUUGGCUUGACCAU